This 371-nucleotide ribosomal RNA is filed under the name uncultured bacterium. RNAcentral's name for it is "bacterial SSU rRNA". It matches the Rfam family "Bacterial small subunit ribosomal RNA", at positions 525 to 896 of the family's 1533-position model. The record is from RNAcentral.
ACGUAGGAGGCAAGCGUUAUCCGGAGUUACUGGGCGUAAAGCGCGCGCAGGCGGUUGGAUAAGUGGAUUGUCAAAGCACCUGGCUAAACCUGGGGAAGGCAGUUCAGACUGUCGAGCUAGAGCCAUCUAGAGGGACGUGGAAUUCGGGGUGUAGCGGUGAAAUGUGUAGAGAUCCCGAGGAACACCAGCGGUGAAGACGGCGUCCUGGGGGUGAGCUGACGCUGAGGCGCGAAGGCGUGGGGAGCAAACAGGAUUAGAGACCCUGGUAGUCCACGCGGUAAACGAUGUCGACUAGAUGUUCACUCCUACGGGAGUGAGUGUCGAAGCAAACGCGGUAAGUCGACCGCCUGGGAAGUACGGUCGCAAGGCUA